UCGGCCACCGCCCAGGCAGCCAGGCUCCCACGUACAGGCAAGCGGGCAGCAAUACGGGGCAAACCCUACAAGCUACAGCUGACACUGAGGCACCGAGCAGUCCAAGUCCGCCGCCAGCCAUCAAGUGUCCAUGUCCAUCUAGGUCUAGCGGUCGGGCUCUACGCCGUCCAACUGCAGUGGUCCAAGGUCGCCGACCGACCUCGUAGCAGGCAACAGACAGCGCGCAGACCUCGCCGCCGGUCGACACGGCGACAGCGACCCAGGAAUCGAGCAACAUGCCUGAUACUGAUGAUAUAGUAGACAUGGAAUUGGAAAGAGAAUCUAUGGGUACUGCUACUCAAUUUGAGCAAGCAACUGUGGAAACAACAGCUGAUCAGUCACAAACAAUACAAGGUAAAUCUAGUGGAACUGAAGGAAAUGCUAAUUUCGUAGACAUUGAGAAUGAAACUGAGAAAAAGGAGGCAAGAAAGGAGAUGGUACCAAGGUCAAGUAUGUGGGAUCAUUUCAUUAAGAUCAAAGAUGACAAGGGUAGGCUAAAGUCUGCUAAGUGCAAAUAUUGUCAGCGUAUCCUUAAGGCUGAUUCCAAUCAGCAUGGUACAUCUUCAUUAAAUAAACAUUUUAAUGUCUGCAAGCGCAACCCCAAUAAAUUUGAUAAAGACCCAAAGCAAGGUACUUUGCAAGCAACGGGAGGGGAAGCUCCUAGCACUUGGAGGUUUGAUCAAAAUUCAUUGAGGGAUGCAUUUGCUGAAAUGCUAAUAUAAGAUGAGCUGCCCUUUGCUUUUGGUGAGAAGUCGGGCUUCAGAAAAUUUAUGUCAAAAGCUUGCCCACGGUUCCAAGUGCCAUCUAGAAGAACUUGUACUAGGGACAUUGUGCGCACAUACUUCCAAGAGAGGGCCAAGCUAAAGAAGUUCUUCAAAGACUCUUGUCAAAGAGUUAGUCUAACAACAGAUUGUUGGACCUCCCAACAACAAGAUGGAAUUCAACAUAUCUAAUGUUGAAGGCUGCAAUUGUGUAUGAGAAGGUAUUCUUGAGGUUGGCUGAAGACGACAUUAGCUAUGUUUUGGAGCUAUCUGAGGUGAGAGGAGGACAUGAUCACCCUAAUGAGGAUGAUUUGGAGAAUGCCAAGAAGAUGGCUGAAUUUCUAGAGCAUUUCUAUGAUCUCACUAUUCGCAUCUCCUCUAGCCUUCAUGUCACUAUUAACACCUUCUUUCAUGAGAUUGGAGAGAUCCGCUUGUUGAUUCAAUCAUGGAUUGAUAGUGUGGAUCCUUUGCGAGUUUCAAUGGGCUUCAGAAUGAAAGAGAAAUAUGACAAGUAUUGGGGAGUUUGGAAUGAGCCGGAUAAGGACAGAGGGAAAGGAAAGGGUAAGGAAAAGGAGAACAUUAAUCUAUUGAUUUUUGUUGCUGCAUUUCUUGAUCCAAGGUACAAGUUAUCUUUGUACCAUAAGAUUACCGUUGAAGAGAUCUUUGGUGAGGACAGAGGACAACUAGUUUGGUCUGCUAUUAAGACAUGUAUCCGAGAACUGUUCACAGAAUAUAGAAAUAUUUAUGCACCAAUUGAAGAAUCAACUGAAGAAACAGAUUCAACUCAAGCAAAAGGUGGUCCAGGAGGGAAGCUUAAACAAGUUAUUGCCAACAAAAUGAAGAUGACUAAUAGUAGUAACAACACUACCAAAUCAGAACUGGACAAAUAUGUAUCUGAAGAUUGUGAAGAUACAGAAAAAAGAUCGAUAUUCUCGUUUGGUGGAAGGACAAUGCACACAGAUUGCCAGUUUUGGCUCACAUGGCCCAAGAUAUCCUUGCUAUACCAAUAUCAACAGUAGCUUCAGAGUCCAUUUUCAGCACAAGUGGACGUAUAUUGGAUGAUUUUCGUACUUCCCUUACACCUUUCAUGUUGGAGGCCCUUGUAUGUACCCAAGAUUGGCUAAGAAGGUCUACUCCCAUUGACAUACAAGAGAAUAUCGAGGAAUUAGCCAUUAUAGAAAAAGAGCUAAUUGAAGAAUUUGGAAAUGGUGGCAAAGGAAAAAGAACUGAGGUUACUUCCACUUCCAAGUCUUAAGCAACACAACAGUGAGCUGUGGACUGUGGUGCAUGUCUGGCUUAUUGGUGAUUGUCUGUCUGUCCCUGUGUCUCCUUCGUUGGUGGCAGACUAGCGGCUGUAUGGUAUGGCUGUGUCUCUACAUGAGAGAUGAGAUUGUUUCCCUCUGUAGACUGGUCACUGCUGUAGCCUGUAGAUGUGUAGUGGUGUGUCCGUGUGUUCCAAGUGCUGGAGAGUGGUGUGAAGUGUGCUGGUGCAGACUGCAGUGGUGCUACCGUGCUAGUGUGCUACUGUGUGCCAAGCCAAGUGUUAUCUUGCUGGACAAGUGCUGGAGACUUGGUGUUCUGGACAAGUGCGGAAGUGCCGUGUGUGGACAGUGGAGAACUGGAGAGUAGCAUAGCACAUCCUCUGUUUUGAAUUCAUAUCAAUUAUCAUCUAUUUAGGUUGUGGAGUACUGGAGUCUAAAGUCUAACAGUUCCUAAGAACCUGAUGUAUUUUAUUGUAUCUUAUUUUCCCUGUGUGUAUUUACCAAUGACCUGUGUAUGUUUCAUGA
This is a long non-coding RNA of Zea mays, 2587 nucleotides long. RefSeq lists it as uncharacterized. The transcript is spliced from 3 exons. Lineage: Eukaryota; Viridiplantae; Streptophyta; Magnoliopsida; Poales; Poaceae. The record is from RefSeq and is a predicted model, not a curated record.